This 824-nucleotide ribosomal RNA is filed under the name uncultured organism. RNAcentral's name for it is "bacterial SSU rRNA". It matches the Rfam family "Bacterial small subunit ribosomal RNA", at positions 60 to 880 of the family's 1533-position model. The record is from RNAcentral.
AGUCGAACGGCAGCACGGGAGCAAUCCUGGUGGCGAGUGGCGAACGGGUGAGUAAUAUAUCGGAACGUGCCCAGUCGUGGGGGAUAACGCAGCGAAAGCUGUGCUAAUACCGCAUACGAUCUAUGGAUGAAAGCGGGGGAUCGCAAGACCUCGCGCGAUUGGAGCGGCCGAUAUCAGAUUAGGUAGUUGGUGGGGUAAAAGCUCACCAAGCCGACGAUCUGUAGCUGGUCUGAGAGGACGACCAGCCACACUGGAACUGAGACACGGUCCAGACUCCUACGGGAGGCAGCAGUGGGGAAUUUUGGACAAUGGGCGCAAGCCUGAUCCAGCAAUGCCGCGUGCAGGAUGAAGGCCUUCGGGUUGUAAACUGCUUUUGUACGGAACGAAACGGUCCUUUCUAAUACAAGGGGCUAAUGACGGUACCGUAAGAAUAAGCACCGGCUAACUACGUGCCAGCAGCCGCGGUAAUACGUAGGGUGCGAGCGUUAAUCGGAAUUACUGGGCGUAAAGCGUGCGCAGGCGGUUUUGUAAGACAGAUGUGAAAUCCCCGGGCUCAACCUGGGACCUGCAUUUGUGACUGCAAGGCUAGAGUACGGUAGAGGGGGAUGGAAUUCCGCGUGUAGCAGUGAAAUGCGUAGAUAUGCGGAGGAACACCGAUGGCGAAGGCAAUCCCCUGGACCUGUACUGACGCUCAUGCACGAAAGCGUGGGGAGCAAACAGGAUUAGAUACCCUGGUAGUCCACGCCCUAAACGAUGUCAACUGGUUGUUGGGUCUUCACUGACUCAGUAACGAAGCUAACGCGUGAAGUUGACCGCCUGGGGAG